CGGGGGGAGCAAGCGUUGUUCGGAUUUACUGGGCGUAAAGGGCGCGUAGGCGGCCACCGCAAGUCAAUUGUGAAAUCUCCGGGCUUAACUCGGAAAGGUCAACUGAUACUGCGGGGCUAGAGUGCGGAAGGGGCAACUGGAAUUCUCGGUGUAGCGGUGAAAUGCGUAGAUAUCGAGAGGAACACCUGCGGCGAAGGCGGGUUGCUGGGCCGACACUGACGCUGAGUGCGCGAAAGCUAGGGGAGCGAACGGGAUUAGAUACCCCGGUAGUCCUAGCCUUAAACGAUGAAUGCUUGGUGUCUGGGGUUACAAAGUCCCCGGGUGCCGUCGCUAACGCUUUAAGCAUUCCGCCUGGGGAGUACGGUCGCAAGACUG
Molecule: ribosomal RNA, 375 nt
Filed under: uncultured organism
Description: bacterial SSU rRNA
Rfam family: Bacterial small subunit ribosomal RNA
Source: RNAcentral